CCUACGGGGGGCAGCAGUGAGGAAUAUUGGUCAAUGGACGAGAGUCUGAACCAGCCAAGUAGCGUGAAGGAUGACUGCCCUAUGGGUUGUAAACUUCUUUUAUAUGGGAAUAAAAUGUUCCACGUGUGGGAUUUUGUAUGUACCAUAUGAAUAAGGAUCGGCUAACUCAGUGCCAGCAGCCGCGGUAAUACGGAGGAUCCGAGCGUUAUCCGGAUUUAUUGGGUUUAAAGGGAGCGUAGGUGGAUUGUUAAGUCAGUUGUGAAAGUUUGCGGCUCAACCGUAAAAUUGCAGUUGAAACUGGCAGUCUUGAGUACAGUAGAGGUGGGCGGAAUUCGUGGUGUAGCGGUGAAAUGCUUAGAUAUCACGAAGAACUCCGAUUGCGAAGGCAGUUCACUGGACUGCAACUGACACUGAGGCUCGAAAGUGUGGGUAUCAAACAGGAUUAGAUACCCCAGUAGUC
RNAcentral lists this ribosomal RNA (460 nucleotides) under uncultured bacterium. RNAcentral's name for it is "partial 16S ribosomal RNA". It matches the Rfam family "Bacterial small subunit ribosomal RNA", at positions 338 to 795 of the family's 1533-position model. The record is from RNAcentral.